This is a long non-coding RNA of Sinocyclocheilus grahami, 203 nucleotides long. RefSeq lists it as uncharacterized. The transcript has 3 exons. NCBI's taxonomy places the organism in Eukaryota, Metazoa, Chordata, Actinopteri, Cypriniformes, Cyprinidae. The record is from RefSeq and is a predicted model, not a curated record.
UUGUGUAUAUAUAUUUCUUGCAAUUUCCCCACAGUUAUGCUCGAAAUAUGGCAAGGUAGUGAACGUGACUGUUGUCAAAGACAAGCAGACACGAAUGAGUAAGGGAGUUGCAUUUGUGCCGUUUCUAGAUAGAGAGUCUGCUCAUAAUUGUGCCCGAUCGCUAAACAACAAACAGUUGUUUGGGAGAGCGGUGAAGGCCAGUA